This 980-nucleotide unclassified non-coding RNA is filed under the name Hevea brasiliensis (rubber tree). The record is from RNAcentral. Lineage: Eukaryota; Viridiplantae; Streptophyta; Magnoliopsida; Malpighiales; Euphorbiaceae.
AAAAAAAAAAAAAAAAAAUUGUUCUCACUGAUAGGGUUUCUUUCUCCCAUCUUUCUUCUCUUAGUUUUAGUAGAGUUCCACGUCUAUGUGGGCCUUCCUCUUCCCCUCUGGGCAGGGGAACGCCCUCUCUUGACUCAGAGCAUGGGUAGUCCCUCCCCGCUUCCAAGUUCGGGUGUUAAUACCUCUUUUGGCUUGUGGUCUGUUACAUCUACUGUGUUUCAUGGUAAGGGCCUCCUUUGUAGAUUUUUAUCAUAGUUUUUGUUCUAGGUUAAUAUGGCUGAAGCAUAGAGGCGAAGGCCUUUGCUGUGUCCAGGAUGGUAGUUGGAUAAGGUUUAAUCAGGCUGAAGGUAGUAGGUCUCGAUGUUGUCCAGCGCCCCCUUUCGAAGAUCAGUUUCGGCGUCCUCGAUUGGGUGGCUCAGUGCAGGUAGCUUGGUCUUGAGAUGGGCACUUUAUCUUCUUAGGCAGUAGACGAGGUAACAACCUAGCUACUAGAUUGCUCUCUCUAGGUCUUGAGCUCUCUAUAUUUAAUCCUUUGUGCUUUGACUUAGGCUUCGUAGUUUUGGCUCUGUCCAUGUUGUUUUAAAGGUGUCAAUAGUCAUGGGUUGUGCUUUUGGGGUGCUCCCUCUUAUCUGUUGGCGGUGCUUUGUGAUGGAGCUCAGGUGGAGGUUUUCGAGAGAUUUCCUCUGGUCCACCGGUGGACCUUUGGGUUCAUCUUUUGGGCUUUAAUUGUUAUUAUUUUUCAUUGUAUCGUGUUUGUUUGGACUUGUGCUCUUUCGGUACUUCCUUUAAAUUAAUGCAAUCCUAAGGCUAAAGGAGCAGUUCACAUCCACUUUCUUUGGUCAAGCUAACAACUUUACCUGUUGGGUCUUAUAGCACACUCUUUAAGUGCCACCAAUGCCUCUUGCUCUCGUAAUGUUCUUCUCUAGCAAGGAGUUCCAUUGAUGUUCUAGCUUUAAGUGAGAUUUUUUUUUUUUUUUUUU